This 457-nucleotide ribosomal RNA is filed under the name uncultured bacterium. RNAcentral describes it as "bacterial SSU rRNA". It matches the Rfam family "Bacterial small subunit ribosomal RNA", at positions 339 to 794 of the family's 1533-position model. The record is from RNAcentral.
UUACGGGAGGCAGCAGUAGGGAAUAUUGGGCAAUGGGCGGAAGCCUGACCCAGCCAUGCCGCGUGCAGGAAGAAGGCGUUAUGCGUUGUAAACUGCUUUUUUAUAGGAAGAAGGAUCCCUUGCGAGGGAAGGUGACGGUACUAUAAGAAUAAGCACCGGCUAACUCCGUGCCAGCAGCCGCGGUAAUACGGAGGGUGCAAGCGUUGUCCGGAUUUAUUGGGUUUAAAGGGUGCGUAGGCGGUUUAUUAAGUCAGUGGUGAAAGACGGUCGCUCAACGAUUGCAGUGCCAUUGAUACUGGUAGACUUGAGUGAGAUUGAGGUAGCUGGAAUGGAUAGUGUAGCGGUGAAAUGCAUAGAUAUUAUCCAGAACACCGAUUGCGAAGGCAGGUUACUAAGUCUUAACUGACGCUGAGGCACGAAAGUGUGGGGAUCAAACAGGAUUAGAUACCCUGGUAGU